This 670-nucleotide ribosomal RNA is filed under the name Micromonospora sp. 509. RNAcentral describes it as "bacterial SSU rRNA". It matches the Rfam family "Bacterial small subunit ribosomal RNA", at positions 65 to 754 of the family's 1533-position model. Lineage: Bacteria; Bacillati; Actinomycetota; Actinomycetes; Micromonosporales; Micromonosporaceae. The record is from RNAcentral.
AGCGGAAGGCCCUUCGGGGUACUCGAGCGGCGAACGGGUGAGUAACACGUGAGCAACCUGCCCUAGGCUUUGGGAUAACCCUCGGAAACGGGGGCUAAUACCGAAUAGGACCUGACCUCGCAUGGGGUUGGGUGGAAAGUUUUUCGGCCUGGGAUGGGCUCGCGGCCUAUCAGCUUGUUGGUGGGGUGAUGGCCUACCAAGGCGACGACGGGUAGCCGGCCUGAGAGGGCGACCGGCCACACUGGGACUGAGACACGGCCCAGACUCCUACGGGAGGCAGCAGUGGGGAAUAUUGCACAAUGGGCGGAAGCCUGAUGCAGCGACGCCGCGUGAGGGAUGACGGCCUUCGGGUUGUAAACCUCUUUCAGCAGGGACGAAGCGCAAGUGACGGUACCUGCAGAAGAAGCGCCGGCCAACUACGUGCCAGCAGCCGCGGUAAGACGUAGGGCGCGAGCGUUGUCCGGAUUUAUUGGGCGUAAAGAGCUCGUAGGCGGCUUGUCGCGUCGACCGUGAAAACUUGGGGCUCAACCCCAAGCCUGCGGUCGAUACGGGCAGGCUAGAGUUCGGUAGGGGAGACUGGAAUUCCUGGUGUAGCGGUGAAAUGCGCAGAUAUCAGGAGGAACACCGGUGGCGAAGGCGGGUCUCUGGGCCGAUACUGACGCUGAGGAGC